ACGGGUGAGUAACGCGUGGGAAUCUACCCAUCACUACGGAAUAACUCAGGGAAACUUGUGCUAAUACCGUAUACGCCCUUCGGGGGAAAGAUUUAUCGGUGAUGGAUGAGCCCGCGUUGGAUUAGCUAGUUGGUGGGGUAAAGGCCUACCAAGGCGACGAUCCAUAGCUGGUCUGAGAGGAUGAUCAGCCACAUUGGGACUGAGACACGGCCCAAACUCCUACGGGAGGCAGCAGUGGGGAAUAUUGGACAAUGGGCGCAAGCCUGAUCCAGCCAUGCCGCGUGUGUGAUGAAGGCCUUAGGGUUGUAAAGCACUUUCACCGGAGAAGAUAAUGACGGUAUCCGGAGAAGAAGCCCCGGCUAACUUCGUGCCAGCAGCCGCGGUAAUACGAAGGGGGCUAGCGUUGUUCGGAAUUACUGGGCGUAAAGCGCACGUAGGCGGAUCGAUCAGUCAGGGGUGAAAUCCCGCAGCUCAACUGCGGAACUGCCUUUGAUACUGUCGGUCUAGAGUAUGGAAGAGGUGAGUGGAAUUCCGAGUGUAGAGGUGAAAUUCGUAGA
This 557-nucleotide ribosomal RNA is filed under the name uncultured bacterium. RNAcentral's name for it is "bacterial SSU rRNA". It matches the Rfam family "Bacterial small subunit ribosomal RNA", at positions 102 to 694 of the family's 1533-position model. The record is from RNAcentral.